ACUGUCACUAAACCUUAAAAAACCCUCCCUCCACUAAUCUCUUUACUUAACACAUUUGGCUCAUAUUCUGGUUAUAAAAUAAAACUCUCCAAAACACAAGUUCUAAAGUUUAAUUAUAAACCAAAUAAGAACAUUCUAAAACUUUUAAAAGGUAAUUGGAGUAGCAGACUAAUCAAAUAUUUAGGGGUUCAACUACUUAGAG
Melanotaenia boesemani (Boeseman's rainbowfish) is the source of this 202-nucleotide long non-coding RNA. RefSeq lists it as uncharacterized. Lineage: Eukaryota; Metazoa; Chordata; Actinopteri; Atheriniformes; Melanotaeniidae. The transcript is spliced from 4 exons. The record is from RefSeq and is a predicted model, not a curated record.